UAACUUGCUUACCUAGCAGCAUAGAAGAAUACUAGUAGAUGCCAAAGACUAGAUUCCUCAGAGUCUCUGUAUUGCACAAAAUAAAUCAGUGUAGGCAUCUUCUGUUACUGUCUAAUUACAGGGAAGAGAAGAGUUGAGAUUUCAUGAAGGUCCCACAGAGCUUUUCGCACCAGGGGGUUGUCAAGCAGGAUAGAAGAAAAAUGGUACACCGGACUCCUAAUGGGCUGCAGACAACAGUGCACUGUAGGUAUUUUCUGUUAUUCUGUUGCUCCAACUAUUUUCAAAGGACCUGAACCAUUGAAGUUUCAUGAAGCUCCCGAAUAGCAUUUCAUAACAGAGAGGUUUCAACCCAAGUGAGUCUUAUAUAAUGGACAAAACACUUAUUCACUUUUACUUAUCAGCCUAGAUAAACUCUUAAGCAGAGAACUAGACUCCUUGUGGGCUGUAACCUACAGAGUGAGGAUCCAGGUAAAUAUUUUCUGUGACUGAAUUGCUGUUGUACAUGAAACUGAACUUUUGAAAUUAGAAAGAAGAGUUCAUAUUUCAUUUCAUACCAUAUGGGUUUGAACGUUUUGAUAAGCUUGAGAGAAAUACAAAUUCGACUGUCCUUCAUAUUUAAUGUGCUUAUGUAGCAGGGUAGAAGAAAAAUGGUACAUGGAAAACACUGUACUCCCAUAGAGCGUUUCGUACCAGAGAGAUUUCUAGGCAAAUGACUUUUACAAAAUGCAGAAAACCCAUACUCACUCUUUCUUAUCAGCCUACACAGAUGACUAUACUUCGAAUGCUUUGUGUGCUAUAUUCUGUGACUGAAUUGCUGUUCUUCAGGAAAUGGAACUUUGAAAUUUGAAAGAAGAGUUCAUAUGGCAUUUCGUGUAUACGGGCUUGAACGCUUUGAUAAGGUUGAGAGAAAUACACAUUUUAAUUUAAA
This is a long non-coding RNA of Ornithorhynchus anatinus (platypus), 928 nucleotides long. RefSeq lists it as uncharacterized. The transcript has 2 exons. The record is from RefSeq and is a predicted model, not a curated record. Lineage: Eukaryota; Metazoa; Chordata; Mammalia; Monotremata; Ornithorhynchidae.